AAGCAAUUAACUAUAAGCUUAUUUAAUAGUAAUUUUUAUCGUUAUUCUCGUAACAAUAAGAAGAAGGUCAACGCCCAACAUACAAUGAGCUACUAUAAAACCAAAAAAACUAAAGUAGUUGCCCCAAAUCAAGUUCAAAGAGAUCUACUUCAACUCCUACAAGUGUAAUUAUCAUAAAAUGGAUUCGACAAAGAGCAAUGAAGAUGUUUCGCACGUUGAUGUGAUUAAUGCCAAGGAUCUGCUCUCCUCGGGUCACCGUACUUAGAUGUGAGGUGAGGUAUUGUAAAUUCUUAUAAACAAAAGAAAUCUACUAAAGUUAAAGCAAUUUGCAUUAUUUUAGCAAAUCUUGAUAAUUUCUUCUUAUUUAAUCUCAUUUUAUUUUACUUCUUUAUUUCAAUCUUUCCUUGUAAUAAAAGCUCUGUUCUUUUCUAUCUCUCUGUUGGGGUUUACGGGACAGUUGAAGAGUUUAACAGAGGACGUAUUGAUAAAGCGAUAAAUAUUCCAUACAUGUUCCUCACUGAAGAAGGAAGAGUACAAAACCCAGAUUUUCUUGUCCAGGUCUCUUCAGUGUGCCAAAAGGAGGAUCAUCUGAUUCGGGUAAAUAUACUUUUUUUUUUGUUUCCCAUCCGGUAUCGGUGUCCGGUACCCGCAUUGGAGCUCGUACUAUAUCCGGAUUCGCGCCGGGUAAGGCCCCAUUCGAGGGGUAGCGCUCCCUACCAAGGAAUUUUCUAUACUCAUGGCUCGAACUCGAGACUUCUGGUUAAGGGAGGAGCAACCCCAUCCACUACACCACAUUACUUGAUGGUGUGGUAAAUAUACUUAUAUAUCUCUUAACUUGCUUUUUCAAAAUUUAAAUUAUAUACGCCGAUAGUAUUAAAAAAAUUACUUGUCACUUAAUCUAAAUUAACAAUAAAAAUUUCUUAAUUAGAGCUACCUAUAAUUACCUUUUAAAUAAUCAAAUCGUGUAAAUAUUUCUUACACAUGCAAGUUGCAAUAUACAAAUGUAACCUCUUCUUUUGAGCAACUCUCGUAUUAGAGGUGGAUGCCAAGUUAACUGAGUUCAACUAACCGAAUAUUUUUGACACGUUGUGUAAAUAUAUACGGGAAAAUUACUGAAAUUCUUAACAAAUAUUAAAUUUUGAACUUAUAAUUUCAUAAGCAUAAUGAGUUUAAUGGUAGAACUUUAUGGUUGAACCCGUCAAAUUCAAAUUCUGGAUCCAUAUUAGCCUGCCGUUUAAAAAAAAAUCCUUAAAAUAUAGUAGUGCUAUAUAUGUUAUUGAGUGUAGGGGUAGAAGCCUAGAAGGAUGUAAGAAAUUUGGAAGGAGGGUACUCAGCAUGGGUGGAUAAUGACUUUAAAGGAGAUAAUAAAGCAGAAGCUGAACAGUUCAAAACUGCCUGCAAGUUUCGACCAUGAACAUAAGUGUGGAUUGCUUGAAUUUGCAUUAGAAUUAUUUUCUGCACUAUAAAGCCAUUUCAUAUGGAAUGAAAAAUGGCAUCAUGGGAAUAAACAUAUAAAACUUCUAUAUUACAUUUUGAUUUCAAGUUGUUGCCUGCAAAGGAUUUUCUCUUUUGUUUGAUGAUACUGAGAUUGUUAA
Nicotiana tabacum (common tobacco) is the source of this 1595-nucleotide long non-coding RNA. RefSeq lists it as uncharacterized. NCBI's taxonomy places the organism in Eukaryota, Viridiplantae, Streptophyta, Magnoliopsida, Solanales, Solanaceae. The record is from RefSeq and is a predicted model, not a curated record.